This 497-nucleotide ribosomal RNA is filed under the name uncultured bacterium. Its description in RNAcentral is "partial 16S ribosomal RNA". It matches the Rfam family "Bacterial small subunit ribosomal RNA", at positions 28 to 507 of the family's 1533-position model. The record is from RNAcentral.
GAUGAACGCUGGCGGCGUGCCUAAUACAUGCAAGUCGAGCGAACAGACGAGGAGCUUGCUCCUCUGACGUUAGCGGCGGACGGGUGAGUAACACGUGGAUAACCUACCUAUAAGACUGGGAUAACUUCGGGAAACCGGAGCUAAUACCGGAUAAUAUAUUGAACCGCAUGGUUCAAUAGUGAAAUACGGUUUUGCUGUCACUUAUAGAUGGAUCCGCGCCGCAUUAGCUAGUUGGUAAGGUAACGGCUUACCAAGGCAACGAUGCGUAGCCGACCUGAGAGGGUGAUCGGCCACACUGGAACUGAGACACGGUCCAGACUCCUACGGGAGGCAGCAGUAGGGAAUCUUACGCAAUGGGCGAAAGCCUGACGGAGCAACGCCGCGUGAGUGAUGAAGGUCUUCGGAUCGUAAAACUCUGUUAUUAGGGAAGAACAAAUGUGUAAGUAACUAUGCACGUCUUGACGGUACCUAGUCAGAAAGCCACGGCUAACUACGUG